This 316-nucleotide unclassified non-coding RNA is filed under the name uncultured Funneliformis. Its description in RNAcentral is "sequence contains ITS2". The stretch from base 1 to 52 matches the Rfam family "5.8S ribosomal RNA", at positions 103 to 154 of the family's 154-position model. The record is from RNAcentral. Lineage: Eukaryota; Fungi; Glomeromycota; Glomeromycetes; Glomerales; Glomeraceae.
AACGCAAAUUGCACUCCCUGGUAUUCCGGGGAGUAUGCCUGUUUGAGGGUCGUUAGAAUAAAAAUCGAGGCGUCGCUCUUUUUUUUAAGGGUGAUCGCGUCGGAAUUGAGCCGUCUUUCAAAUGUUAAUUCAUGUCAAAGUGGCUUAAAAUUCAUCCAUCCGGUACGAUUAAAGCGUAUUUAAGAUCAAUUUUGAUUAAGAACGCGCGAUGACGUACCAUCUCAUGUAGUACGUUUGACCUGGCGUCGUCAGGAUCAUUCGUAUACGAUACUCAAACUUUGACCUCAAAUCAGGUAAGAAUACCCGCUGAACUUAA